GAUGAACGCUGGCGGCGUGCCUAAUACAUGCAAGUCGAGCGAACGGACGAGAAGCUUGCUUCUCUGAUGUUAGCGGCGGACGGGUGAGUAACACGUGGAUAACCUACCUAUAAGACUGGGAUAACUUCGGGAAACCGGAGCUAAUACCGGAUAAUAUUUUGAACCGCAUGGUUCAAAAGUGAAAGACGGUCUUGCUGUCACUUAUAGAUGGAUCCGCGCUGCAUUAGCUAGUUGGUAAGGUAACGGCUUACCAAGGCAACGAUGCAUAGCCGACCUGAGAGGGUGAUCGGCCACACUGGAACUGAGACACGGUCCAGACUCCUACGGGAGGCAGCAGUAGGGAAUCUUCCGCAAUGGGCGAAAGCCUGACGGAGCAACGCCGCGUGAGUGAUGAAGGUCUUCGGAUUGUAAAACUCUGUUAUUAGGGAAGAACAUAUGUGUAAGUAACUGUGCACAUCUUGACGGUACCUAAUCAGAAAGCCACGGCUAACUACGU
RNAcentral lists this ribosomal RNA (496 nucleotides) under uncultured bacterium. RNAcentral describes it as "partial 16S ribosomal RNA". It matches the Rfam family "Bacterial small subunit ribosomal RNA", at positions 28 to 506 of the family's 1533-position model. The record is from RNAcentral.